Molecule: transfer RNA, 71 nt
Filed under: Cassida rubiginosa
Lineage: Eukaryota; Metazoa; Arthropoda; Insecta; Coleoptera; Chrysomelidae
Description: tRNA-Leu
Source: RNAcentral
AAGAACAUAGCUAUUAAUCAUAUGGUAAUAAAUUUAAGUUUUAAUAAUAGGGUAUCUAAUCCUAGUUUUUA